CUACGGGGGGCACCAGUGAGGAAUAUUGCGCAAUGGACGAAAGUCUGACGCAGCCAUGCCGCGUGCAGGAUGACGGCGCUAUGCGUUGUAAACUGCUUUUAUAUGCCAAGAAACCUUCGGACGUGUCCGAAGCUGACGGUAGCAUAUGAAUAAGCACCGGCUAACUCCGUGCCAGCAGCCGCGGUAAUACGGAGGGUGCAGGCGUUCUCCGGAUUUAUUGGGUUUAAAGGGUCCGUAGGCGGAUCAUUAAGUCAGUGGUGAAAGCCGGCAGCUCAACUGUCGAACUGCCAUUGAUACUGGUGAUCUUGAAUACGGUUGAAGUUGGCGGAAUAGGUCAUGUAGCGGUGAAAUGCUUAGAUAUGACCUAGAACACCGAUUGCGAAGGCAGCCAACUAAGCCGUUAUUGACGCUGAGGGACGAAAGCGUGGGGAGCGAACAGGAUUAGAUACCCUUGUAGUC
This 459-nucleotide ribosomal RNA is filed under the name uncultured bacterium. RNAcentral describes it as "partial 16S ribosomal RNA". It matches the Rfam family "Bacterial small subunit ribosomal RNA", at positions 339 to 795 of the family's 1533-position model. The record is from RNAcentral.